UACAGAGGGGGCAAGCGUUGUUCGGUAUUACUGGGCGUAAAGGGCGCGUAGGCGGCCUGUUAAGUCGAACGUGAAAUCCCCGGGCUCAACCCGGGAACUGCGUCCGAUACUGGCAGGCUUGAAUUCGGGAGAGGGAUGUGGAAUUCCAGGUGUAGCGGUGAAAUGCGUAGAUAUCUGGAGGAACACCGGUGGCGAAGGCGGCAUCCUGGACCGAUAUUGACGCUGAUGCGCGAAAGCCAGGGGAGCAAACGGG
This 253-nucleotide ribosomal RNA is filed under the name uncultured bacterium. RNAcentral's name for it is "partial 16S ribosomal RNA". It matches the Rfam family "Bacterial small subunit ribosomal RNA", at positions 524 to 776 of the family's 1533-position model. The record is from RNAcentral.